CAUAGCGACUAUCGUGGCAUAUCAAUAAGCGGAGGAAAAGAAACUAACUAAGGAUUCCCUCAGUAACGGCGAGUGAAGCGGGAAGAGCUCAAAUUUGAAAUCUUCAAGGUUCUACCUUGACGAAUUGUAGUUUAAAGAAGUGUUUUCUGUUGGAGUUUUGGUAAAAGUUCUUUGGAAUAGGACAUCAUAGAGGGUGAGAGUCCCGUAUUUGACCAUUACUUUCCAGCUGUGUGAUACACUUUCAAAGAGUCGGAUUGUUUGGGAAUGCAGUCCAAAAUGGGUGGUAAAUUUCAUCUAAAGCUAAAUAUUGGCUGAGAGACCGAUAGCGAACAAGUACCGUGAGGGAAAGAUGAAAAGAACUUUGAAAAGAGAGUUAAACAGUACGUGAAACUGUCAAAAGGGAAGCGUUUGACACCAGUACUGUUGUUUUUCCGAAAAUCAAUUACGAAUGUUUUGUUUUUGAGGAGUUAUGACUUCAUCGGCUUGCUCCUUUCUUUACGAAACUUUCUUAAUGCACUUUUCGGUUAACAAGUCAACAUCAAUUUCCUUUGUUGUAAAAGGGUAUGAGGAAGGUGGCUUUCUUUUCGGAGAAAGUGUUUAUAGCCUUGUGCCUCUGCAAUCGGAGAGAUUGAGGUCUGCAGCGUAGAUCCUUCGGGGUUAGAUACGUUUGUGCUAAGUUAUAGCUUUUCAUAGACAACUUGUUGACUAUGUUUAGUCUUGUAGCUUACUCGCUGACGCUAUUUUACCUACGCUUAGGAUGUUGACGAGACUGUCGAUCUC
This 780-nucleotide ribosomal RNA is filed under the name uncultured Neocallimastigales. RNAcentral's name for it is "partial large subunit ribosomal RNA". It matches the Rfam family "Eukaryotic large subunit ribosomal RNA", at positions 22 to 647 of the family's 3401-position model. Lineage: Eukaryota; Fungi; Neocallimastigomycota; Neocallimastigomycetes; Neocallimastigales. The record is from RNAcentral.